CCUCCCCUUCCUUUCCUUUUUCCCUCCCCCUCUUUUUCUCCUUUUUUUUAAUUCGAAGCAACGCGAAGAACCUUACCAGGGCUUGACAUCCCUUGAACGCUAUAGAGAUAUAGUUUUUCUUUUAGAACAAGGAGACAGGUGGUGCAUGGUUGUCGUCAGCUCGUGUCGUGAGAUGUUGGGUUAAGUCCCGCAACGAGCGCAACCCCUAUUUUUAGUUGCCAUCAUUAAGUUGGGCACUCUAAAGAGACUGCCGGCAAGAAGUCGGAGGAAGGUGGGGAUGACGUCAAAUCAUCAUGCCCCUUAUGUCCUGGGCUACACACGUGCUACAAUGCCUAUACAGAGGGAAGCGAAGUGGUGACAUGAAGCGAAUCUCAGAAAAUAGGUCUCAGUUCGGAUUGUAGGCUGCAACUCGCCUAUAUGAAGUUGGAAUCGCUAGUAAUCGCAGGUCAGCAUACUGCGGUGAAUACGUUCCCGGGCCUUGCACACACCGCCCGU
Molecule: ribosomal RNA, 495 nt
Filed under: uncultured bacterium
Lineage: Bacteria
Description: bacterial SSU rRNA
Rfam family: Bacterial small subunit ribosomal RNA
Source: RNAcentral